GAUGAACGCUAGCGACAGGCUUAACACAUGCAAGUCGAGGGGCAGCACAGGUAGCAAUACCGGGUGGCGACCGGCGCACGGGUGAGUAACGCGUAUGCAACUUGCCUAUCAGAGGGGGAUAACCCGGCGAAAGUCGGACUAAUACCGCAUGAAGCAGGGGCCCCGCAUGGGGAUAUUUGCUAAAGAUUCAUCGCUGAUAGAUAGGCAUGCGUUCCAUUAGGCAGUUGGCGGGGUAACGGCCCACCAAACCGACGAUGGAUAGGGGUUCUGAGAGGAAGGUCCCCCACAUUGGUACUGAGACACGGACCAAACUCCUACGGGAGGCAGCAGUGAGGAAUAUUGGUCAAUGGGCGUAAGCCUGAACCAGCCAAGUCGCGUGAGGGAUGAAGGUUCUAUGGAUCGUAAACCUCUUUUAUAAGGGAAUAAAGUGCGGGACGUGUCCCGUUUUGUAUGUACCUUAUGAAUAAGGAUCGGCUAACUCCGUGCCAGCAGCCGCGGUAAUACGGAGGAUCCGAGCGUUAUCCGGAUUUAUUGGGUUUAAAGGGUGCGUAGGCGGCCUUUUAAGUCAGCGGUGAAAGUCUGUGGCUCAACCAUAGAAUUGCCGUUGAAACUGGGGGGCUUGAGUAUGUUUGAGGCAGGCGGAAUGCGUGGUGUAGCGGUGAAAUGCAUAGAUAUCACGCAGAACCCCGAUUGCGAAGGCAGCCUGCCAAGCCAUUACUGACGCUGAUGCACGAAAGCGUGGGGAUCAAACAGGAUUAGAUACCCUGGUAGUCCACGCAGUAAACGAUGAUCACUAGCUGUUUGCGAUACACUGUAAGCGGCACAGCGAAAGCGUUAAGUGAUCCACCUGGGGAGUACGCCGGCAACGGUGAAACUCAAAG
RNAcentral lists this ribosomal RNA (881 nucleotides) under uncultured bacterium. RNAcentral describes it as "bacterial SSU rRNA". It matches the Rfam family "Bacterial small subunit ribosomal RNA", at positions 28 to 906 of the family's 1533-position model. The record is from RNAcentral.